UACGAAGGGGGCAAGCGUUGCUCGGAAUCACUGGGCGUAAAGCGCACGUAGGCGGCUUCCUAAGUCGGGGGUGAAAUCCUGGAGCUCAACUCCAGAACUGCCUUCGAUACUGGGAAUCUUGAGUCCGGAAGAGGUGAGUGGAACUGCGAGUGUAGAGGUGAAAUUCGUAGAUAUUCGCAAGAACACCAGUGGCGAAGGCGGCUCACUGGUCCGGUACUGACGCUGAGGUGCGAAAGCGUGGGGAGCAAACAGG
This 253-nucleotide ribosomal RNA is filed under the name uncultured bacterium. RNAcentral describes it as "partial 16S ribosomal RNA". It matches the Rfam family "Bacterial small subunit ribosomal RNA", at positions 524 to 776 of the family's 1533-position model. The record is from RNAcentral.